UUAUCCUAUGUUCAAUAGUCAUGGGAAACUGCCUCGCUUAUGGCGGGGAGGAAGGAGGGGAUGACGUCAAGUCAGCAUGGCGCUUAUGUCUGGGGCCACACACAUCCUACAAUGGGAAGGAACAACGGGUUGCCAAGCCGUAAGCGGAAGCUAAUCCCAUCAAAACUUCCCCCAGUUCAGAUUGAGGGCUGCAAUUCGCCCUCAUGAAGCCGGACUUGGUAGUAAUCGCGGGUCAGCAGACCGCGGUGAAUACGUUCUCACUCUUU
This 266-nucleotide ribosomal RNA is filed under the name uncultured bacterium. RNAcentral describes it as "partial 16S ribosomal RNA". It matches the Rfam family "Bacterial small subunit ribosomal RNA", at positions 1105 to 1375 of the family's 1533-position model. The record is from RNAcentral.